AUGGUGGUCUUUUUGUUUUGAACUCUAAACACAGGUGCAAUGUAUUUGUGUACAUGUGUGUGUGUGUGAUGUGGUGGAUCCAGAGCUAGACAGUGACACAAGCAGCCGUCCAGCUGACACCCUGAACCACCUCAUGUCUACUAUGGAGAAUACCACCACCUCCACCAGGAAACCCCAUAGGGAUGAGGAGGACCAGCUGAGUGAGGAGGCAGCCAGGGUGAUCUGUGGGCUGGCUGACCUGUCCUUCAUGAAGGCUAAGGUCCUAAUGUUCCCCAUCACCCUCACACCAGCCGCUGGCUCUGGUACACUGCUAGAGUGAUGCACACAUGGAUGGAUGCACACACACACAAACACAGAAGACUUGUCCGCUUCAAAGCUAGAUUGAACAUUAAUGCAAAGUCAAAAUGUUGAUAAUCAGUAAUAUGGUGAAAUAGUUAGUCUUUUGUUCUGAAUGUAUUGAUGUAUUUAUGUUGUGACACAGUGGUUGAGGUCUAAGACUGAUCCACACUUACCUCCAGUCAUCUGCCUCGUUCCUCCAGUGGUCUUAGAUCAAUUUCCUGUUUCCCUUUUCAAGAUGAACAUUUUAUCUUCAUGUAUUUAUUAUUGAUGUGUGUAUAGUUAUUCAUGUAAAUUCAUCAUAAAUCCAUAGGAAAUAUAUUGUAUUUAAUAUUUACAUAACAGUUUGGAAAUAACAAUAUUUAUAUGAUAUAUGUUUGUGUUGUUGAUCUAGAGUGUGAUUUCCUCUUAAAUGGCACCCUAUUCCCUAUAUAGUGCACUAUUAUUGUCCAGAGCCAUAUGGGCCGUUGUGAAAAGUAGUGCACUACAUAGGGGAUAGAGUGCCAUUUGGGACAAACACCUAUCAUCAUGGGGUUAACUACUGUUAAAUAAUAUAAUAGCACAAGUCUUAAUGAAUAGGGCCUCCAGAACCCUAAUAUUUCUGAUUAGUGUCUCGGGGAAACACAGUCCUGUGUGUUCAGAUGAUCUGCCAUUAAAGGGACAAUCCACUAUUUGUACAUCCAUUUUUUUUAACCUUUAAAUGAAUGAAAUGUAGCCAUUGAUUGUUAAAGAAUUGAACGUAUAAUGCCUCCUGAUCUUAGUUCAACUGUUUUACCCAAUCAGAACCCAAAUGAUCAGCGUGUUUCACUACAUUGCUUGUAAAUAAUGUAAUUGGUAACUAACGCUGUAAUGCUUCAGAAUGUGGUUAAACUAUCAUGUUGAUCUCAUGGAUGGUCAGUCCUUGCAUCCAUCCUUGCUUCAUCUUUGAAUUUGAGUGGUUUAAUUUCUCCAGCUCCAUCCCUCAGCUGUUUACCAAAAGAAAGUAGCGGGCGGCCAUUUAGUUAUUUGAAUCCCAGAUUGCCCCUUUAAGGAUAAUGGGACAGUGAUGCUCACAUGUAAAGAGGGAUCAGUGUUUGCGGAAAUAUAUUUUAUUUGAUUCCUUA
Long non-coding RNA from Oncorhynchus nerka (sockeye salmon), 1439 nucleotides. RefSeq lists it as uncharacterized. The transcript has 2 exons. The record is from RefSeq and is a predicted model, not a curated record. NCBI's taxonomy places the organism in Eukaryota, Metazoa, Chordata, Actinopteri, Salmoniformes, Salmonidae.